This 860-nucleotide long non-coding RNA is filed under the name Ooceraea biroi (clonal raider ant). RNAcentral's name for it is "uncharacterized LOC105285287". Lineage: Eukaryota; Metazoa; Arthropoda; Insecta; Hymenoptera; Formicidae. The record is from RNAcentral.
AGCAGUGAAUUGUUAAUAUAUAGAAUAGUUUCUUUUAAGGGGGGAUUCUCAUGUAACGAGUCAAAAAAUUUUUUUUGCUUAAAUCAACUCUAAUACAUGUGGAAAAUAUGUUCCUAAAGUUACAAAUCGAUAUUCGACCUCUACGUAUAGUUAUAGUCGAGUUUUCGACCGCGCGUUGAGUAGGUAGCUGGGAGCGCUCGGAGCGGAGACACACGUCUCGUCUGUCCUCACUCAUACACUCGUACAUAACAAACAGCUUCGCAGGUAUACGUCUAAUGGUUUUCUUUUGUUGUGAUAUACCUUCGCGUACUUGUAUAGCUGAGGCAGGAAAUUUUUACGAGAGCUUCAAUUCGUGUGUUUGGCGUUUGGCUCCGAAAUAUUUAUAUUGUGGCAUCCGAACAGUGGAAAUAGCCGCAUAUAUUGCUGCAGGAUUAUUCAACGAAGGCUAUUUCGCCGUUUUAAAAAUUAUGGACACAUUAGAACUAAAGAUCGGUACCCAUUGUAAGGAGUAUGCAGACUCGUAUGACGCCGCGCGAAUACGGCAACAGGAGUGACGAAGCCUCAGUAGCUCGAAAGAAGCUCGAACUGCUCGCAAAGAACUGAAUUUACAACAGCAGCAAUUAUACGAGGAUGCAGAAGGCCUACUAUAUGGUCCUGGAAUCGCCGAUUAGGACUACCUUUACAGCGGAUGCUAGACUGCACACCGUUUGACGCCUGCGACGCCGAAGCCGCUGAAGGCGGCGUCCAUACCUAUAUCUAUAUAUAUGUUUUUUUUAACCAAAAAAAUAUUUUUAUAUUCUCUUUACAUGUAUUGAUGUACUAUUAAAGUUUGAGAUCCUUUGACUAAAUACGUUCUUGAA